UAACACGUAGGGCGCAAGCGUUGUCCGGAAUUAUUGGGCGUAAAGAGCUCGUAGGCGGUCUGUUGCGUCCGCUGUGAAAACUCGGGGCUUAACCCCGAGCCUGCAGUGGAUACGGGCAGACUAGAGGUAGGUAGGGGAGAAUGGAAUUCCCGGUGUAGCGGUGAAAUGCGCAGAUAUCGGGAGGAACACCGGUGGCGAAGGCGGUUCUCUGGGCCUUACCUGACGCUGAGGAGCGAAAGCGUGGGGAGCGAACAGGAUUAGAUACCCUGGUAGUCCACGCCGUAAACGUUGGGCGCUAGGUGUGGGAUCCUUCCACGGAUUCCGUGCCGCAGCUAACGCAUUAAGCGCCCCGCCUGGGGAGUACGGCCGCAAGGCUA
This 377-nucleotide ribosomal RNA is filed under the name uncultured bacterium. Its description in RNAcentral is "bacterial SSU rRNA". It matches the Rfam family "Bacterial small subunit ribosomal RNA", at positions 521 to 896 of the family's 1533-position model. The record is from RNAcentral.